GGGUGCGAUCAUACAAGCACUAAUGCACCAGAUCCCAUCACAACUCCGCAGCUAAGCAUGCUUUGGCAAGAGUAGUACUAGGAUGGGUGAACUUCUACGAAGUCCUCGUAUGGCACUCC
RNAcentral lists this ribosomal RNA (119 nucleotides) under Beta vulgaris subsp. vulgaris (sugar beet). Lineage: Eukaryota; Viridiplantae; Streptophyta; Magnoliopsida; Caryophyllales; Amaranthaceae. The record is from RNAcentral.